Molecule: signal recognition particle RNA, 97 nt
Filed under: Veronia nyctiphanis
Lineage: Bacteria; Pseudomonadati; Pseudomonadota; Gammaproteobacteria; Vibrionales; Vibrionaceae
Description: Bacterial small signal recognition particle RNA
Rfam family: Bacterial small signal recognition particle RNA
About the family: The signal recognition particle (SRP) is a universally conserved ribonucleoprotein involved in the co-translational targeting of proteins to membranes. Archaeal SRP consists of a 7S RNA and homologues of the eukaryotic SRP19 and SRP54 proteins.
Source: Rfam by way of RNAcentral
CCUUGGUUCUCCCGCAACACUAUCUUGCGUAAUGGGUCAGGCCUGGAAGGGAGCAGCCCCCGCUUGGGACGUGUGUGCCGGGAUGUAGCUGGGGAGG